UAAUACGAAGGGGGCUAGCGUUGUUCGGAAUUACUGGGCGUAAAGCGCACGCAGGCGGUUUGUUAAGUCAGAUGUGAAAUCCCCGGGCUCAACCUGGGAACUGCAUUUGAAACUGGCAAGCUAGAGUCUCGUAGAGGGGGGUAGAAUUCCAGGUGUAGCGGUGAAAUGCGUAGAGAUCUGGAGGAAUACCGGUGGCGAAGGCGGCCCCCUGGACGAAGACUGACGCUCAGGUGCGAAAGCGUGGGGAGCAAACAGGAUUAGAUACCCUGGUAGUCCACGCUGUAAACGAUGUCGAUUUGGAGGUUGUGCCCUUGAGGCGUGGCUUCCGGAGCUAACGCGUUAAAUCGACCGCCUGGGGAGUACGGCCGCAAGGUU
RNAcentral lists this ribosomal RNA (375 nucleotides) under uncultured Serratia sp. RNAcentral's name for it is "bacterial SSU rRNA". It matches the Rfam family "Bacterial small subunit ribosomal RNA", at positions 521 to 895 of the family's 1533-position model. Lineage: Bacteria; Pseudomonadati; Pseudomonadota; Gammaproteobacteria; Enterobacterales; Yersiniaceae. The record is from RNAcentral.